RNAcentral lists this ribosomal RNA (253 nucleotides) under uncultured bacterium. RNAcentral's name for it is "partial 16S ribosomal RNA". It matches the Rfam family "Bacterial small subunit ribosomal RNA", at positions 524 to 776 of the family's 1533-position model. The record is from RNAcentral.
UACGUAGGGAGCAAGCGUUGUCCGGAAUCAUUGGGCGUAAAGCGCGCGUAGGUGGCCUCAUAAGUCCGCUGUGAAAGUCAAAGGCUCAACCUUUGAAAGCCGGUGGAUACUGUGGGGCUAGAGUACGGAAGAGGCGAGUGGAAUUCCUGGUGUAGCGGUGGAAUGCGCAGAUAUCAGGAGGAACACCAACGGCGAAGGCAGCUCGCUGGGACGGUACUGACGCUGAGACGCGAAAGCGUGGGGAGCGAACAGG